CACCUCUAGCAUCACCAGUAUUAGAGUCGCCUGUUUAUCAAAAACAUGUCUGUGCGGAUGUAGUGUUCAGUCUGGCCUGCCCACUGAGGUUUAAAGGGCUGCGGUAAUUUGACCGUGCAAAGGUAGCAUAAUCAAUAGUCUUUUAAUUGGAGGCUUGGAUGAAAGGUUUGACGGAUGAGGAGCUGUCUCUUUAGUUGUGUUGAAUUUAACGUUUGUGUGAAAAGGCAUUAAUGGUUUAGGGGGACGAUAAGACCCUAUAAAACUUAACAUGUGUGGUGUUAGCUUUUGGAGUUGUUCUGUAAUCAUAAGGUGACUGGGUGUGUUUUGCUGGGGCGGCACGAAUAUAAUUUGUAACUGUUUUAGGAAAAAAAUAUUGAUUAAUAGAUUUUGGUCCUUUAUUAGGGAGUUAAGAGUAAGUUACUUUAGGGAUAACAGCGUAAUUUUUCUUGAGAGUUCUUAUCGAAGGAAGUAGUUGUGACCUCGAUGUUGAAUUAAAUUUUCCCUUUGGUGCAGGAGUUAUUAUGGGAGGGCCUGUUCGGCCAAUAAGCAUUU
RNAcentral lists this ribosomal RNA (552 nucleotides) under Synalpheus sp. BOC-151. Its description in RNAcentral is "partial 16S ribosomal RNA". It matches the Rfam family "Bacterial large subunit ribosomal RNA", at positions 1762 to 2597 of the family's 2925-position model. Lineage: Eukaryota; Metazoa; Arthropoda; Malacostraca; Decapoda; Alpheidae. The record is from RNAcentral.